RNAcentral lists this ribosomal RNA (549 nucleotides) under uncultured bacterium. RNAcentral describes it as "bacterial SSU rRNA". It matches the Rfam family "Bacterial small subunit ribosomal RNA", at positions 356 to 896 of the family's 1533-position model. The record is from RNAcentral.
AGGGAAUCUUCGGCAAUGGACGGAAGUCUGACCGAGCAACGCCGCGUGAGUGAAGAAGGUUUUCGGAUCGUAAAGCUCUGUUGUAAGAGAAGAACGAGUGUGAGAGUGGAAAGUUCACACUGUGACGGUAUCUUACCAGAAAGAGACGGCUAACUACGUGCCAGCAGCCGCGGUAAUACGUAGGUCCCGAGCGUUGUCCGGAUUUAUUGGGCGUAAAGCGAGCGCAGGCGGUUAGAUAAGUCUGAAGUUAAAGGCUGUGGCUUAACCAUAGUAGGCUUUGGAAACUGUUUAACUUGAGUGCAAGAGGGGAGAGUGGAAUUCCAUGUGUAGCGGUGAAAUGCGUAGAUAUAUGGAGGAACACCGGUGGCGAAAGCGGCUCUCUGGCUUGUAACUGACGCUGAGGCUCGAAAGCGUGGGGAGCAAACAGGAUUAGAUACCCUGGUAGUCCACGCCGUAAACGAUGAGUGCUAGGUGUUAGACCCUUUCCGGGGUUUAGUGCCGUAGCUAACGCAUUAAGCACUCCGCCUGGGGAGUACGACCGCAAGGUUG